AGUAAGGAAUAUUGGUCAAUGGACGAAAGUCUGAACCAGCCAUGCCGCGUGGAGGAUGAAGGCCCUCUGGGUUGUAAACUUCUUUUAUAUGGGACGAAAAAGGGACUUUCUAGUUCAACUGACGGUACCAUGUGAAUAAGCACCGGCUAACUCCGUGCCAGCAGCCGCGGUAAUACGGAGGGUGCAAGCGUUAUCCGGAUUCACUGGGUUUAAAGGGUGCGUAGGUGGGUUGGUAAGUCAGUGGUGAAAUCUCCAAGCUUAACUUGGAAACUGCCAUUGAUACUAUCAGUCUUGAAUAUUGUGGAGGUUAGCGGAAUAUGUCAUGUAGCGGUGAAAUGCUUAGAUAUGACAUAGAACACCAAUUGCGAAGGCAGCUGGCUACACAUAUAUUGACACUGAGGCACGAAAGCGUGGGGAUCAAA
RNAcentral lists this ribosomal RNA (422 nucleotides) under uncultured Terrimonas sp. RNAcentral's name for it is "bacterial SSU rRNA". It matches the Rfam family "Bacterial small subunit ribosomal RNA", at positions 353 to 772 of the family's 1533-position model. Lineage: Bacteria; Pseudomonadati; Bacteroidota; Chitinophagia; Chitinophagales; Chitinophagaceae. The record is from RNAcentral.